RNAcentral lists this ribosomal RNA (595 nucleotides) under Kocuria sp. S67-2. RNAcentral's name for it is "bacterial SSU rRNA". It matches the Rfam family "Bacterial small subunit ribosomal RNA", at positions 382 to 987 of the family's 1533-position model. Lineage: Bacteria; Bacillati; Actinomycetota; Actinomycetes; Micrococcales; Micrococcaceae. The record is from RNAcentral.
CCUGAUGCAGCGACGCCGCGUGAGGGAUGACGGCCUUCGGGUUGUAAACCUCUUUCAGUAGGGAAGAAGCGAGAGUGACGGUACCUGCAGAAGAAGCGCCGGCUAACUACGUGCCAGCAGCCGCGGUAAUACGUAGGGCGCAAGCGUUGUCCGGAAUUAUUGGGCGUAAAGAGCUCGUAGGCGGUUUGUCGCGUCUGCUGUGAAAGCCCGGGGCUCAACCCCGGGUCUGCAGUGGGUACGGGCAGACUAGAGUGCAGUAGGGGAGACUGGAAUUCCUGGUGUAGCGGUGAAAUGCGCAGAUAUCAGGAGGAACACCGAUGGCGAAGGCAGGUCUCUGGGCUGUUACUGACGCUGAGGAGCGAAAGCAUGGGGAGCGAACAGGAUUAGAUACCCUGGUAGUCCAUGCCGUAAACGUUGGGCACUAGGUGUGGGGGACAUUCCACGUUUUCCGCGCCGUAGCUAACGCAUUAAGUGCCCCGCCUGGGGAGUACGGCCGCAAGGCUAAAACUCAAAGGAAUUGACGGGGGCCCGCACAAGCGGCGGAGCAUGCGGAUUAAUUCGAUGCAACGCGAAGAACCUUACCAAGGCUUGACAU